Long non-coding RNA from Nycticebus coucang (slow loris), 340 nucleotides. RefSeq lists it as uncharacterized. Lineage: Eukaryota; Metazoa; Chordata; Mammalia; Primates; Lorisidae. The transcript is spliced from 3 exons. The record is from RefSeq and is a predicted model, not a curated record.
ACGGCCAUACGGAGACAUAUUUGUUGUGGGCAAAGUGCGCGGACUGCGAGUAUCAUCUCCGUGGGACUUAGACUGGAUUCUUGUUUAGGCUUUGUUAAGAGUUUGUGGUCUUUGAAAACCUCGUGUUGGCCAGAAUAUAAACAUCAUGAAAGCAGGAAUCUUGGAUCCUGGCAUCUCUGCACCCUAAAACAGUCAUGGCACGUGGCAAAUGUCUGUGGCAUAUUGUACAUAGUGACGUCGGAUGGCACCAGUUAUGGGGGACACGUCUUACCCAGCACAAUGUAAGAUCUAUUCGUAAUCUUUACUAGGACUCUCCUGUUCCCUUACCAUGAUGAAAGAA